ACUAAGCGUACACGGUGGAUGCCCUGGCAGUCAGAGGCGAUGAAGGACGUGCUAAUCUGCGAAAAGCGUCGGUAAGGUGAUAUGAACCGUUAUAGCCGGCGAUGUCCGAAUGGGGAAACCCAGUGCAAUUCGUUGCACUAUCGUUUGAUGAAUACAUAGUCAAACGAGGCGAACCGGGGGAACUGAAACAUCUAAGUACCCCGAGGAAAAGAAAUCAACCGAGAUUCCCCCAGUAGCGGCGAGCGAACGGGGAGCAGCCCGGAGUCUGAAUCAGCUUGUGUGUUAGUGGAAGCGUCUGGAAAGUCGCAGGGUACAGGGUGAUACUCCCGUACACUAAAGCACACAGGUUGUGAACUCGAAGAGUAGGGCGGGACACGUGGUAUCCUGUCUGAAUAUGGGGGGACCAUCCUCCAAGGCUAAAUACUCCUGACUGACCGAUAGUGAACCAGUACCGUGAGGGAAAGGCGAAAAGAACCCCGGCGAGGGGAGUGAAAAAGAACCUGAAACCGUGUACGUACAAGCAGUAGGAGCCUCUUUAUGGGGUGACUGCGUACCUUUUGUAUAAUGGGUCAGCGACUUAUAUUCUGUAGCAAGGUUAACCGUAUAGGGGAGCCGCAGGGAAACCGAGUCUUAACUGGGCGUUAAGUUGCAGGGUAUAGACCCGAAACCCGGUGAUCUAGCCAUGGGCAGGUUGAAGGUUGGGUAACACUAACUGGAGGACCGAACCGACUAAUGUUGAAAAAUUAGCGGAUGACUUGUGGCUGGGGGUGAAAGGCCAAUCAAACCGGGAGAUAGCUGGUUCUCCCCGAAAGCUAUUUAGGUAGCGCCUCGUGAACUCAUCUUCGGGGGUAGAGCACUGUUUCGGCUAGGGGGUCAUCCCGACUUACCAACCCGAUGCAAACUACGAAUACCGAAGAAUGUUAUCACGGGAGACACACGGCGGGUGCUAACGUCCGUCGUGAAGAGGGAAACAACCCAGACCGCCAGCUAAGGUCCCAAAGUCAUGGUUAAGUGGGAAACGAUGUGGGAAGGCCCAGACAGCCAGGAUGUUGGCUUAGAAGCAGCCAUCAUUUAAAGAAAGCGUAAUAGCUCACUGGUCGAGUCGGCCUGCGCGGAAGAUGUAACGGGGCUAAACCAUGCACCGAAGCUGCGGCAGCGACACUAUGUGUUGUUGGGUAGGGGAGCGUUCUGUAAGCCGUUGAAGGUGGCCUGUGAGGGUUGCUGGAGGUAUCAGAAGUGCGAAUGCUGACAUAAGUAACGAUAAUGCGGGUGAAAAACCCGCACGCCGGAAGACCAAGGGUUCCUGUCCAACGUUAAUCGGGGCAGGGUGAGUCGACCCCUAAGGCGAGGCCGAAAGGCGUAGUCGAUGGGAAACAGGUUAAUAUUCCUGUACUCGGUGUUACUGCGAAGGGGGGACGGAGAAGGCUAUGUUGGCCGGGCGACGGUUGUCCCGGUUUAAGCAUGUAGGCGGAUGUUCCAGGUAAAUCCGGAACGUUAUUAACGCUGAGGUGUGAUGACGAGGCACUACGGUGCUGAAGUGACAAAUGCCCUGCUUUCCAGGAAAAGCCUCUAAGCAUCAGGUAACAUCAAAUCGUACCCCCAAAACCGGACACAGGUGGUCAGGUAGAGAAUACCAAGGCGCUUGAGAGAACUCGGGUGAAGGAACUAGGCAAAAUGGUGCCGUAACUUCGGGAGAAGGCACGCUGAUAUGUAGGUGAAGUGGUUUACCCAUGGAGCUGAAAUCAGUCGAAGAUACCAGCUGGCUGCAACUGUUUAUUAAAAACACAGCACUGUGCAAACACGAAAGUGGACGUAUACGGUGUGACGCCUGCCCGGUGCCGGAAGGUUAAUUGAUGGGGUUAUCCGUAAGGAGAAGCUCUUGAUCGAAGCCCCGGUAAACGGCGGCCGUAACUAUAACGGUCCUAAGGUAGCGAAAUUCCUUGUCGGGUAAGUUCCGACCUGCACGAAUGGCGUAAUGAUGGCCAGGCUGUCUCCACCCGAGACUCAGUGAAAUUGAACUCGCUGUGAAGAUGCAGUGUACCCGCGGCAAGACGGAAAGACCCCGUGAACCUUUACUAUAGCUUGACACUGAACACUGGUCCUUGAUGUGUAGGAUAGGUGGGAGGCUUUGAAGUGUGGACGCCAGUCUGCAUGGAGCCAUCCUUGAAAUACCACCCUUUAAUGGCUGGUGUUCUAACGUGGGCCCCUAAUCGGGGUUGCGGACAGUGUCUGGUGGGUAGUUUGACUGGGGCGGUCUCCUCCUAAAGAGUAACGGAGGAGCACGAAGGUCAGCUAAUCCUGGUCGGACAUCAGGAGGUUAGUGCAAUGGCAUAAGCUGGCUUGACUGCGAGCGUGACGGCGCGAGCAGGUGCGAAAGCAGGUCAUAGUGAUCCGGUGGUUCUGAAUGGAAGGGCCAUCGCUCAACGGAUAAAAGGUACUCCGGGGAUAACAGGCUGAUACCGCCCAAGAGUUCAUAUCGACGGCGGUGUUUGGCACCUCGAUGUCGGCUCAUCACAUCCUGGGGCUGAAGUAGGUCCCAAGGGUAUGGCUGUUCGCCAUUUAAAGUGGUACGCGAGCUGGGUUUAGAACGUCGUGAGACAGUUCGGUCCCUAUCUGCCGUGGGCGCUGGAGAAUUGAGGGGGGCUGCUCCUAGUACGAGAGGACCGGAGUGGACGCAUCACUGGUGUUCGGGUUGUCAUGCCAAUGGCAUUGCCCGGUAGCUAAAUGCGGAAGAGAUAAGUGCUGAAAGCAUCUAAGCACGAAACUUGCCCCGAGAUGAGUUCUCCCUGACUCCUUGAGAGUCCUGAAGGAACGUUGAAGACGACGACGUUGAUAGGCCGGGUGUGUAAGCGCAGCGAUGCGUUGAGCUAACCGGUACUAAUGAACCGUGAGGCUUAACC
This 2900-nucleotide ribosomal RNA is filed under the name Klebsiella oxytoca. Its description in RNAcentral is "bacterial LSU rRNA". It matches the Rfam family "Bacterial large subunit ribosomal RNA". Lineage: Bacteria; Pseudomonadati; Pseudomonadota; Gammaproteobacteria; Enterobacterales; Enterobacteriaceae. The record is from RNAcentral.